UGCCGUGGGCGUUGGAAGAUUGAAGGGGGCUGCUCCUAGUACGAGAGGACCGGAGUGGACGAACCUCUGGUGUUCGGGUUGUGUCGCCAGACGCAUUGCCCGGUAGCUAAGUUCGGAAUCGAUAACCGCUGAAAGCAUCUAAGCGGGAAGCGAGCCCUGAGAUGAGUCUUCCCUGAUACUUUAAGUAUCCUAAAGGGUUGUCGGAGACUACGACGUUGAUAGGUCAGGUGUGUAAGUGCUGUGAGGCAUU
RNAcentral lists this ribosomal RNA (250 nucleotides) under Vibrio parahaemolyticus. Its description in RNAcentral is "partial 23S ribosomal RNA". It matches the Rfam family "Bacterial large subunit ribosomal RNA", at positions 2643 to 2887 of the family's 2925-position model. The record is from RNAcentral. Lineage: Bacteria; Pseudomonadati; Pseudomonadota; Gammaproteobacteria; Vibrionales; Vibrionaceae.